Molecule: ribosomal RNA, 492 nt
Filed under: uncultured bacterium
Lineage: Bacteria
Description: partial 16S ribosomal RNA
Rfam family: Bacterial small subunit ribosomal RNA
Source: RNAcentral
AGUGAACGCUGGCGGUAGGCCUAACACAUGCAAGUCGAACGGCAGCACAGUAAGAGCUUGCUCUUACGGGUGGCGAGUGGCGGACGGGUGAGGAAUACAUCGGAAUCUACUUUUUCGUGGGGGAUAACGUAGGGAAACUUCCGCUAAUACCUCAUACGACCUACGGGUGAAAGCAGGUGAUCUUCGGACCUUGCGCGAUUGAAUGAGUCGAUGUCGGAUUAGUUAGUUGGCGGGGUAAAGGCCCACCAAGGCGACGAUCCGUAGCUGGUCUGAGAGGAUGAUCAGCAACACUGGAACUGGGACACGGUCCAGACUCCUACGGGAGGCAGCAGUGGGGAAUAUUGGACAAUGGGCGCAAGCCUGAUCCAGCCAUACCGCGUGGGUGAAGAAGGCCUUCGAGUUGUAAAGCCCUUUUGUUGGGAAAGAAAAGCAGCAGGUUAAUACCCCGCUGUUCUGACGGUACCCAAAGAAUAAGCACCGGCUAACUUCGUG